This 800-nucleotide ribosomal RNA is filed under the name uncultured bacterium. Its description in RNAcentral is "bacterial SSU rRNA". It matches the Rfam family "Bacterial small subunit ribosomal RNA", at positions 8 to 789 of the family's 1533-position model. The record is from RNAcentral.
AGAGUUUGAUCCUGGCUCAGGACGAACGCUGGCGGCGUGCCUAAUACAUGCAAGUCGAGCGAAUCAAAGGGAGCUUGCUCCCUGAGGUUAGCGGCGGACGGGUGAGUAACACGUGGGCCACCUGCCUAUAAUACUGGCAUAACUUCGGGAAACCGGACCUAAGACUGGAUAAUUCAUAUCUACUCAUGUAGGUGUGCUGAAGGACGGUUUAGGCUGUGACUUAUAGAUGAGCCCGCGGCGCAUUACCUAGUUGGUGAGGUAACGGCUCACCAAGGCAACGAUGCGUAGCCCACCUGAUAGGGUGAUCGGCCCCACUGGGACUGAUACACGGGCCAGACUCCUACAGGAGGGAGCAAUGGGGAAUCUUCCGAAGUGGACGAAAGUCUGACGGAACAACGGCCCGUGAGUGAUGAAGGUUUUCUGAUCGGAAAAAUCUGUUGUUAGGGAAGAACGAGUACUACACUAACUGCUACUACCUUGACGGUACCUAACCACAUAGCCACGGAUAACUACGUGCCUUCACCCGCGGUAAUACGUACGUGGCAAGCGUGGUCCGGAAUUAUUGGGCGUUCCUCGCGCGCCUGCGGUACUUUAAGUCUGAUGUGAAAGCUCGCGGCUCAACCGUGGAUGCUCAUUGGAAACUGUAGUACUUGAGUGCGUAAAAGUAGAGUGGAAUCCCACGUGUAGCGGUGAAAUGCUGACAGAUGUGUAGGAACACCAGUGCGCGAACGCGACUCUUUGAUCUGUUACUGACCCUUAGGCGCGCAAGCGUGAGGAGAUGACAAGGAUGAGAUAGGCUG